Molecule: long non-coding RNA, 755 nt
Organism: Pantherophis guttatus
Lineage: Eukaryota; Metazoa; Chordata; Lepidosauria; Squamata; Colubridae
Source: RefSeq, a predicted model, not a curated record
GUCAGUCACUUUUUCUCAGUCCUAGGAAGGAAGCAAUGGCAAACCACUUCUGAAAAACCUUGCCAGGAAAACUGCAAGAUUGGUUUGAAAUCAGAAGGCAGAAGUCUGAAUGAAAGGAUGGAAGGAUUUGGGAAUGUUCAGUCAGAAAGACCAACUGUAUUUUACUGGGAAACAAACCAGGGUUUAACAAUGAACAUCUGUACCUGAAUGGAUCAUAGUUUGGAGAAUGUAGGAAAGAGAGGAGAGGUGACUUUCCUGCUGAAAUUCGCCAUGCCCUUCAGUUGCUGGAUUCAUGCAAUUGAUUUAUACAAUGCCUCGAUAUGACUAUAAAACCUUGUUAUUGUUCCUUCUGUGAUCCAAGAGUAUAUUCUGUUAACCUACAUUGCUUGAAACUUAGGGCCAAAGCAGGUGUACAGGGAUGGGAUGGGUUUUUAGAUCCUUAAUCCUGAUAUCCUGAUCAAUCAAUUUAUAAGCCUUAGGUAGAUUCUCCAUAAAUCCUGAUAUUUCUAUGCUACAUUUCCUACAUUGACCAGUUCAGAAUAAGAUGAAUCAGAACAUUUUUUUUUAUUUUAGAUAUAUGCAAAGAGAGAGUAUAUGCUGUUUCCUGCAGUGUUAGAUGUUAUGUUCAAAACUCGAAAUCUCCCCAAGAAAAGAACAGUAGAAAGAAGGCAGAAUGGGAAGAGACAGGAGAAGAGAGGGAAACAAAGGCGUUGUUUGGAUUUUACUGCAAUAAAGCCCUUGAUCAAUAAAUGGCA